This 23-nucleotide non-coding RNA is filed under the name Arabidopsis thaliana (thale cress). The record is from RNAcentral. Lineage: Eukaryota; Viridiplantae; Streptophyta; Magnoliopsida; Brassicales; Brassicaceae.
UCUCUGCUACCUAUUGUUCUCUA